CGAAGUCGCCGGAGGGCGAAAGCCAUGAGCUGGUUGGCCCCUGGGGCGUCAAGGAGGAGCCUCGAGUGAUGUUCACUUGUGCUUGGGCAGCAGAUGAAACCCCCAGCAGCAGUAGCAAGAACUGGAGGAAACACCAUGGGAGGCGAGGUGCCAUUGCUUUUUUGCUUUGGUUGGUGCCUCUACUGAUGAGAGCAAAGGUUAUGCCCCUUGGAGAAUGGCACUUAACAGUGGCCAGUCAUGACUCAUGACGCGUCUUCUUCGUGGAACAGCGUGGCACAUGGAAAAUCAUGCCCAUGAAUUGGAUUUUGUGUGGAACAGUCUAUGAGGCUGGGGUUGAAUUGGUCGAUUCCCUCUCCCUGUUAGUGACAUUUUGUUGUCAUGCACAGAAAGGUCUCCGUGCUGACUGUUAAACUUGAAGCAUGACAAAGCGGAAAAAAGUAUUAUUUCUGAAUGCUUUUCCCUCUAUUACAACCGUUCCGAGCUUUCUAGAAUGAUUGUUUCGUCUUUACCAAAUUACCGUUAAGAUAUAUUUUAAAUAAGAAGUGCCAAUCUGCUUACAGAAUUAUUUAUGAACUGAGAAAACACUGAAAUUUAUUUGUCCCUCGAUACAGAAGGCGUCUUCGGUCAGUCUGAACACUAAAUCCUGAUAAAAGUUUCACUAAUUCUUGCCAUCAUCUCCUACUUGCCUAUUAUGAUUUUUCUCACUUAGGCAUCUCAUGGCAUUCAAGAGUUUCAGUUGACUUGACUUGACUUGGCAUGGGACAGCUGGUCACCCGCCAAACUCUGUAAAGAGGACGGCAGCAGUAGGCUAAUAAUCUACCAGCAACAGGUCAGUGGCAUUCAACUGCUCAGCUGUGACCAGUGGCAUGGACUCCUUUUCUAUGAUUGGGGGGAUGCAUCUGACUGUGAAAUGCUUCAUCUUUUGGCAUCGAGUCCUUUUCUAAGUUACAAUUGGUGUUUCCGUGAAGGCGGGGGCACAAGGAUUGGACCCAUUGGUCAACCGGAAUCGUGGAGAUUAUUGUUGGAGGAGUAACUCUCAAGGCGGUACGCGGAACACUCAACUCCCCUUGCCCACGCCUGAAUUUCUGAAGAAAUGAUUUCAUUUUUAGUAAUUUGUGGUUAGUAGGAUUUCUGUUUUUUCAGGGAAAUUUGGUUUCAUAUCUUGGAUUCAUUUUUCUACUAGGGAAACUUGAAUUGGAAAGCUUAUCUGGUGAACGUUUGCUCGGAGCGUUUUCCGAGCGAACGCCCGCCACAGCCUUCGGAUUCAGGUCUGACGGACGGCAUUUUUUGAGGGAAAAAAAGUUGCCUUAUAAGUAAAGAACAGCCAUGUGCGCCUGAUAAAAUUGCCAGGCAACGUACUCUGGAAACUGCCAGCUGGGGCGUUCGGAAAUGCCAUGUCUGGCAGCGAACGUUCGCCCCCUAUUGAGGUCCUGAAUCGGUCAGUUGCUGUUACAAGCUUCUGGAGAGUUGCUACUGUUGUGAGAUUUAUAGAAUAAUUGUUUUGCAUUUCCCGAAUCACCAUUACGGUGCAUUUCUCUUUAUUAAAUGAGAAGUGCCAAUCUGGUUCCAGAAAUGUUUGUUCGGAGGAGUCCAUGAAGAAAACACUGAAAUUUAUUAGCCCCUUGACACACAAGAACUCUGGAUCCUGGAGAAAAGUUUACAGACUUCUGGCUCUCAUUUCGUACUCCCGAAAAUUCGAUGUUUUAUGGGUUACGCUUCUCACUGCAUCCAAGAGUUUCCAUUGACUUGAGCCGGUCACCUUUUCUAUACACCACUAGAAAGUUUGAUUAGCGACAAUGGACUGCUCAGCUGUGUGGUCAGUGGGAUCAACUCUGACUGUGACGUGUUUACACUGCAUUGGUGCUUCCGUGAAGGUAGGGGUACAAGGACUAGACCACAUUGGUCCGCCGGAAGCAAUCGGGUAGUAACUGUCACCCAAUAAAGAAGUGUGAAAAUCGUGGAAAGAACUAGGAGAGAUUUGUGGUUAUUUUGAAAUCAUCUUUAUUAGUUUCAUUCAGAUUUCAAUUUUUUUUAGAACAUUCAGAUUUCAUUUGAGCUUGUGCACAGCCUCUGGUCGUAGGCCCUUGCUAAUAUCGCUCUCAUGUGACACGCUACAUGUGUGAUAUUUGUCAUAACCUGAAAGUUUUGUAUUUUUUUCUUAUAGAUAUUUUUCUUUCUAAAAUGUUUUAUGUCUUAAAUCAUGCACUCAAAUGAUGAGUCCCUUUUAACGUUGGGUUUCUUGCGUCAAGAUCUUUGAAAUUAAUCCAAUGUUAAGACAGCGCGUUCAAAUCAUGAGUUGUUUUCAGCGUUGUGUUUCUUGCGUCGAGAUCUUUGAAAAUAAUCCCAUGUUAACUGAUUUGGAUGAGUUCUUUAAAAAAAUGGAAACUAAAACAAAACUAAAAAUUUUGGAAACCAAAAAAAAAAAACUUACCAAAGAGACUAAAAAUGGAUGCGAAAACACAUUUUGUGUUUUUUUUUUUUUUNNNNNNNNNNNNNNNNNNNNNNNNNNNNNNNNNNNNNNNNNNNNNNNNNNNNNNNNNNNNNNNNNNNNNNNNNNNNNNNNNNNNNNNNNNNNNNNNNNNNGACCCACGAGCCCGCCCCGCCCCCGCCACUUUCCCGGCGGCCGCGGUGGCGGCAUCCCUGCAAGCGCAGAGCAGAACGGGCGCUGGUUGAGUCGGCUGCGCGGACGGCGAGAAGGAUGGCGUGGCGGAGGCGGGUGAACUCACCCGUGAUGGUGGUGGUGAUGGUCGUCCUCGUCGUGGGAGUGGCCGCCGUGGUGGUGGUGGUGGUGAUCCUGGGACGCCAUGGACGGAGUCCAAACCUGGGAAGUGGAAGGAUAAGACUUUGAUUCCUCGCGUUGACCCUGUGAUUCUCACCUCAAGAGGAAGGAUCCAGGUGGGAGGCGGCGGCGCGGGCGGGGACGGCGGCGGCGCGGCUGGAGGAGGAGGGCAGGGGCAGGGCGAGGGCAGGUGGAGGCGGCGGCGGCGCGGGUCUGGAAGUGUGGGCUGGAUCGAUGGAUGUGGAAUGACCGAAUGAGUGGAGGCAGAUACGGCUGAGGGGAUAAGGCUAGCUAUGCCUACAGCUUAGCCGUCGGCAUAGCUUCGGACCCCACACGACCUACGCCCCGGAUCGGUGACGUGGCAGCGUAUGCCGACAGCUUAACCGUCAGCGUACCUACCUGCAUUUUUUAAUAUUUUUUUAUGUAUGUUUUUUUAAAGAAAUUACUUUUAUUAAACAAAAUUCAUACAUGUUACACAUAAAUUAUUUUUUAUUAGAUCUUUUAUUAAAAAUAUACAUGUUACUCACAGAUUAUUUAUAUUUAAAAAAAUCAUACAUUUUACUUCGGUUUGACCCGUGCGCAUGUUCCCCCUCAAAGUGACGGCGGCAUUGUCGUACAUGAAGGGCACACAUCCGGAAGCACCGCGACGAGCGUCUACGCAUGUCAGAUCACUUUCACACAUGCAUAAGGACCCGACGCGAUGUUUCGAUGGCAUAGCUACCCCCGACAGCCACCCGAUCGGACUACCCCUAGCCCCGUUGAUCCAUAGAACUAGGCCUUUGACUUGCGUCGGACGGGCUUUGACCAGUGGACUCUUCCACCUUGUUUCGAUAGGUCGGCCCACACGAACAUGUAAGAACAUGGUCCGAGUCCAACCCAUCACUAGGUUCCCUCCAUGUCGACCCAACGCGGCUAUUUUCCCCCUCAAAGUGACGGCGACACUUUCGUACAUGAAGGGGGGACACACAAGGGAGCGCCGUGAUGGGCGUCUACGCAUGUCACAUCACUUUCACACACGCAUGAGGACCCGACGCGAUGUUUCGGUGGCAUAGCUACCCCCGACAGCCACCCGAUCGGACUAACNNNNNNNNNNCACCCGUCGAUCUAGCCCUUUGACUUGCGUCGGACGGACUUUGACCAAUGGACUCUUCCACCUCGUUUCGAUAGGUCAGCCCAUAGAAACAUGUAAGAACAUUGUCUGAGUCCCCCCUCAAAGUGACAACGACAUUGUCGUACAUGAAGGGGGGACACACAAGGGAGCGCCGCGACGGGCGUCUACGCAUGUCACAUCACAUUCACACAUGCAUGAGGACCCAAGCAAUGUUUUGGUGGCAUAUCUACCCCCGACAGCCACCCAAUCGCAAUAACCCUAGCCCCGUUGACCCGUAGAUCUAUGCCUUUGACUUGCGUCGGACGGGUUUUGACCAGUUAACUCUUCCACCUCGUUUCGAUAGGUCAGCCCAUAGGAACAUGUAAGAACUUGGUCUGGGUCCAACCCAUCACUAGGUUACCUCCAUGUCGACCCGACACUGCUAUUUCCCCUCUCAAAGUGACGGCGACAUUGCCGUACAUGAAGGGGGCACACCCCGGAGAGCCGCGACGGGCGUCUACGCAUGUCACACCACUUUCACACAUGCAUGAGGACCCGAGCGAUGUUUCGGUGGCGUAGCUAGCCCCGACAGCCAUCAGAUCGCACUAACCCUAGCCCCGUUGANNNNNNNNNNAGGUCUGGGUCCAACCCAUCAGUAGGUUACCUCCAUGUCGACCCGACACUUCUGUUUCCCCUCUCAAAGUGACGGCGGCAUUGANNNNNNNNNNNNNNNNNNNNNNNNNNNNNNNNNNNNNNNNNNNNNNNNNNNNNNNNNNNNNNNNNNNNNNNNNNNNNNNNNNNNNNNNNNNNNNNNNNNNCUCAAAGUGACGGCUGAAGUGUCGUACAUGAAGGGGACACACAUCCGGAAGCACCGCGACGGGCAUCUACGCAUGUCAGAUCACUUUCACACAUGCAUGAGGACCCUAUGCGAUGUUUCGGUGGCAUAGCUACCCCCGACAGCCCCCCGAUCGAACUAACCCUAGCCCCGUUGACCCGUAGAUCUAGGCCUUUGACUUGCGACAGACGGGCUUUGACCAGUGGACUCUUCCACCUCGUUCGAUAGGUCUGCCCAUAGGAACAUGUAAGAACAUGGUCCGAGUCCAACCCAUCACUAGGUUCCCUCNNNNNNNNNNGACCCGUAGAACUAGGCCUUUGACUUGCGUCAGACGGGCUUUGACCAGUGGACUCUUCCACCUCGUUUCGAUAGGUCUGCCCAUAAGAACAUGUAAGAGCAUGGUCCGAAUCCAACCCAUCACUAGGUUCCCUCCAUGUCGACCCGACGCGGCUAUUUCCCUCUCAAAGUGACGGCGACAUUGUCGUACAUGAAGGGCGGACACACACGGGAGCGACGCGACGGGCGUCUACGCAUGUCACAUCACUUUCACACAUGCAUGAGGACCCGACGCGAUGUUUCGGUGGCAUAGCUACCCCCCGACAGCCACCCGAUCCGACUAACCCUAGCCCCGUUGACCCGUAGAUCUAGGCCUUUGACUUGCGUNNNNNNNNNNCGCGAUGUUUUGGUGGCAUAGCUACCCCCCGACAGCCACCCGAUCCAACUAACCCUAGCCCCGUUGACCCGUCGAUCUAGGCCUUUGACUUGCGUCGGACGGGCUUUGACCGGUGGACUCUUCCACCUCGUUUCGAUAGGUCAGCCCAUAGAAACAUGUAAGAACAUUGUCUGAGUCCCCCCUCAAAGUGACGACGACAUUGUCGUACAUGAAGGGGGGACACACACGGGAGCGCCGCGACGGGCGUCUACGCAUGUCACAUCACUUUCACACAUGCAUGANNNNNNNNNNNNNNNNNNNNNNNNNNNNNNNNNNNNNNNNNNNNNNNNNNNNNNNNNNNNNNNNNNNNNNNNNNNNNNNNNNNNNNNNNNNNNNNNNNNNAUAUCACUCUCUGAAUUCUCUGAAUUACCAUAGGUAAUGCACAAAAUGGAUUCAGUCAUACGAAUACAGAUACAGAUGCAUUUUCUGAAGAAGAAGAAGAAGAAAAGAUACAGAAGUAUUAUGGUGCUAUCUGCUGCUGCUGGACGUAAGUGCCGGAAAUACAAGGUAGCCAUUAUUCUUCAAACUAUUAUCGAAUUUUGAAGAAGAUAACAUACAGAUGCAUCAAUGAUGCUAUUUGUUCAGCUAAACAUGAGUGCCUGAAAUGCUAUAUUUACCAUUAAUUCUGAAGCAUCAAUAGAAUACAGUAUUGCAUAAUCUUGCUUCAUGCUACAACUUAUUUNNNNNNNNNNAGAAUUUUGAAGAAGAAGAUAAGAUACAGAUGCAUCAAUGAUGCUAUUUGUUCAGCUAAACAUGAAUGCCUGAAAUGCUAUAUUUACCAUUAAUUCUGAAGCACCAAUAGAAUACAGUAUUGCAUAAUCUUGCUUCAUGCUACAACUUAUUUGUUAACAAGCAGGCACAAGUGAACUGAUGAAAGCAAUACAGUAUUGCAUAAUCAUGCUUCAUGCUACAACUUAUGAAAGUGAACUGAUGAAGGAAGAGGGGUCCGGAGGUGUGGGGAUCUGCACUGCUCCAUCAAGCAUCUGUGUCACUUUAAGCAUGNNNNNNNNNNNNNNNNNNNNNNNNNNNNNNNNNNNNNNNNNNNNNNNNNNNNNNNNNNNNNNNNNNNNNNNNNNNNNNNNNNNNNNNNNNNNNNNNNNNNCGCGACUUGCACACGGUGGUUCCAAUCCGGCCGAGCAUCACCGAAUAAGAAUUCGUUGAGCGAGCCAUUGGUCAUGAACUCAUAAACUAGCAGUCGGUGAGUUCCCUCACUGCACAAACCAAGCAGCCUGACCAAGUUCUUGUGAAACGUCUGCCCGAUGGUUUGCACCUCCACCAUGAACUCCUUCUCAGUCUCUUGCUGGAGUUUUUCAAUUUUCUUGACCGCAAUGCUGGUAGCAUGCUCAUCUUGCAGCUGUCCUUUGUACACGGUACCAGAGGCACCGCUGCCAAGCACCUCACGGAAACCACUAGUUGCCUUCUCCAGAUCAUUGUAAGUGAAAAUCUUUGGGGGCAAGAUAGAACUACCUGACGGUNNNNNNNNNNCUUUUCAAGUUUCUUGACAGCGAUGCUUGUCGCAUGCUCAUCUUGAAGCCGUCCUUUGUACACUGUACCAGAGGCACCGCUGCCAAGCACCUCAUGGAAACCACUGGUUGCCUUCUCCAGUUCAUUGUAAGUGAAAAUCUUUGGGGGCAAGAUAGAACUACCUGACGGUUGCGGUGACUGGAGUUUCUUCUUGGAGGUUAUGGAGAUACCGCAGUAAGUGCCGAAGAGCAGAAUACUGAUCAGGAGAAUGUUUACCAAUACAGAACCCCCAAAAAACAAGGAACUCCCAAGAAUCCAAUACUUCUUGUCCUUCUUCCAUUUGCUAGAGCCAGUGUUCUGGGACUGUGAAUUGUUGCCCCUCGGCACCUUGAUAAGAACUGUCCUGUCUACACUUUCCGCCAUAUACCCAUUUGAUAAAGGGAGCUUUUUCUUCCAGCAGGUAUUUGUGCUUGGCUGAAAGACGGCUGUGGCACAGAAGCAAUCAAUCACACACAGCCUCUGGCACUCGUAUACGUCGAUGGGGCUGUAUUGCUCAUAGUCAGAUUCAGGCCAAUCAACACUAUUGACCAGAGUCAUCUCAAACUGUGCCCUUGCUGCUUCCUCAUCAAGGUCACAGCUUUGUGGCACAAAGUCAGGCCUGCACCCUUUGUACUGCCUCUCCUCGUCGAAGAAUUCGUAACGUUGUGGGCAUUGGCAGCUUGUCUGAUUCUUGGUGCCAUCAAUGGUGCAGUAGCUGUUGAAGCCGCAUGCACCACUGCCUGCCUUUACCUUCACUCUCUGGCAGAUGUUCUGGGGAAUUGAGCUUACUGACGUCCAUUGCGAGGUCCCUUGGCCUCUCAUCUUUCUGCUCUUUGGGUACAGGUAUUGCCGAAAUACACCGUCUGGAUCAAGCGUGGCACGAUGAAAGAAAUCACCCUGUGUGUCCAUCGAGUACCCCUCUGCCGAAGUGAUAUUGAUCUGUGUGCCAUUUAUCAAGGUGAAGUAUACCCUGCCUGUUUCAUUGAACACCAGCUGUGAGCCGUUCCCAACCGUGUUAGAUGCCCAGUAUGCAUUGUACCGAAGUGUAGAAUGCUCGGCGAUUGGAUAAAACACAAGAUUACCAUCAGUUUGCACAGCUAGGAGAAACCGGCCAUUGGAGUAGUCUGUGGCGAUGAGACGGCUUCUGAGUACCUUGUCCUGCUGACCCACAGAAAGCACUUGUGUGGGCAGGAUGGUAUCAGCCGGGAAAUCAAAGGUCUCCCACUUUGUCGUGCCAUCUGCACCGACAAGCAUGAAAUUGCCUGUGUCGAGCAUUCUGGCAUACGCCACACCAGGAACCCGGGGACUCCAGACCACAUCACCAGAUGGGUUGCGAAGCGAGAGCAACCCAUCAGUGGUGAGAUGUAGCACGGAGCUGGAUGGCACUUGCACCGGUGACUCUUGACCGUUGGAGCUGCUCUUGGCGUACCAAACUACUGUCUUCUCAGUGAUCUUGUUGAACCAGACGGCAAGGAGGUACGAGGAGUUACCUUCUAUUUGUUGAAAACCGAACGCGAAGUCGCCGGAGGGCGAGAGCCAUGAGCUGGUUGGCCCCUUGGGCGUCAAGGAGGAGCCUCGAGUGAUGUUCACUUGUGCUUGGGCAGCAGAUGAAACCCCCAGCAGGAGCAGUAGGAAGAACUGGAGGAGGCGCCAUGAGAGGUGAGGUGCCAUUGCUUUUUUGCUUUGGUUGGUGCCACUACUGAUGGGAGCAAAGAUUAUGCCCCUUGGUGAAUGGCACUUAACAGUGGCCAGUCAUCACGCGUCUUCUUCGUGGAACAGCGUGACACAUGGAAAAUCAUGUCCAUGAAUUGGAUUUUGUGUGGAACAGUCUAUGAGGCUGGGACUGAAUUGGUCAAUUCCCUCUCCCUGUUAGUGACAUCUUGUUGUCAUGCACUGAAAGGUCUCCCUGCUGACUGUUAAACUUGAAGCAUGACAAAGCAGAAAAAGGUAUUAUUUCUGAAUGCUUUUCCCUCUAUUACAAUUGUUCCGAGCUUUCUAGAAUGAUUGUUUCGUCUUUACCAAAUUGCCGUUAAGAUAUAUUUUAAAUGAAAAGUGCCAGCCUGGUUCCAAAAAACAUUUAUGCAGAGGAACUGAGAAAACACUGCAAUUUAUUUGUUAGUAAGAACUCUAAAUCCUGAUAAAAGUUUCACCAAUUAUGGCUAUCAUCUCCUACUUGCCUAUUAUGAUUUUUCUCACUUAGGCAUCUCAUGGCAUUCAAGAGUUUCAGUUGACUUGACUUGACUUGGCAUGCCACAGCUGGUCACCGGCCAAACUCUGUAAUGAGGACGGGAACAGUAGGCUAAUAAUCUACCAGCAACAGGGAGGAUGCAUCUCACUGUGAAAUGCUUCAUCUUUUGGCAUCGAGUCCUUUUCUAAGCUAUAAUUGGUGUUUCCGUGAAGGCGGGGGCACAAGGAUUGGACCCAUUGGUCCACCGGAAUCAUGGAAAUUAUUGUUGGAGUAACUCUCAACGCGGUACGCGGCUACGGUUAGCGGAACAUGGUAGACCACUCAACUCCCCUUCCCACAACGCCUGAAUUUCUGAAUAAAUGUUUUAAUUUUCAGUAAUAAUUUGUGGUUAGUAGGAUUUCAGUUUUUUAGGGAAAUUUGGUUUCAUAUCUUGGAUUAAUUUUUCUACUAGGGAAACUUGAAUCGGAAAGCUUAUCUGCGGAACGUUUGCUGGGAGCGUUUUCCCAGCGAACGCCCCCACAGCCUUUGGAAAAAAGUUUUUGAGGGGAAAAAAGUUGCCUUAUAAGGAAAGAACAGCCAUGUGCUCUGAUAAAAUUGCCAGACGAUGUACCUGCAAACUGCCAGCUGGGGCGUUCGGAAAUGCCAUGUCUGGCAGC
This 9763-nucleotide long non-coding RNA is filed under the name Hordeum vulgare. Its description in RNAcentral is "long non-coding RNA (HVUL_LNC002634)". Lineage: Eukaryota; Viridiplantae; Streptophyta; Magnoliopsida; Poales; Poaceae. The record is from RNAcentral.